AACGAACGCUGGCGGCAGGCUUAACACAUGCAAGUCGAACGCAUCCUUCGGGGUGAGUGGCAGACGGGUGAGUAACGCGUGGGAACGUGCCCUUCAGUUCGGGAUAACCCAGGGAAACUUGGGCUAAUACCGGAUACGUGCGAGAGCAGAAAGAUUUAUCGCUGAAGGAUCGGCCCGCGUCUGAUUAGCUAGUUGGUGGGGUAAUGGCCCACCAAGGCGACGAUCAGUAGCUGGUCUGAGAGGAUGAUCAGCCACAUUGGGACUGAGACACGGCCCAAACUCCUACGGGAGGAAGCAGUGGGGAAGAUUGGACAAUGGCGCAAGCCUGAUCCAGCCAUGCCGCGUGAGUGAUGAAGGCCUUAGGGUUGUAAAGCUCUUUCGUCCGGGACGAUAAUGACGGUACCGGAAGAAGAAGCCCCGGCUAACUUCGUGCCAGCAGCCGCCGUAA
RNAcentral lists this ribosomal RNA (448 nucleotides) under uncultured bacterium. RNAcentral's name for it is "partial 16S ribosomal RNA". It matches the Rfam family "Bacterial small subunit ribosomal RNA", at positions 29 to 523 of the family's 1533-position model. The record is from RNAcentral.